CAUUAGCUGAGGAAAAGAAACCAACAGGGAUUGCCCUAGUAACGGCGAGUGAACAGGCAAGAGCUCAGAUUUGAAAGGCACUUUUGUGCCGUUGUAUUCUGAAGUUAGGGUCCUGAGAAACGAUGCUUAAGUCUUCUGGAAAGGAGCGCCAUGGAGGGUGAUAGCCCCGUCUAGCAUUGACCUCAUAUAGGAUCUUAACAUGGAGUCGAGUUGUUUGGGAAUGCAGCUCAAAUGGGUGGUAUGCUCCAUCUAAAGCUAAAUAUCUGCGAGAGACCGAUAGUAAACAAGUACUGUGAGGGAAAGAUGAAAAGAACUUUGAAAAGAGAGUGAAAAAGUACGUGAAAUUGUUGAAAUGGAAGGGUAGGCCGCUAACCAUGUAGAGCCGUGUUUGGGGGGAAGAUAAAUGCUGUAGAAUGUAGCUCCUCGGAGUAUUAUAGAUGCAGUUCAUAUUCCCACCCGAGCGCGAGGAUCUCAGGUUCUACUAAAUGGUGGUCUACCACCCGUCUUAA
Molecule: ribosomal RNA, 509 nt
Filed under: Starmerella bacillaris
Lineage: Eukaryota; Fungi; Ascomycota; Dipodascomycetes; Dipodascales; Trichomonascaceae
Description: eukaryotic LSU rRNA
Rfam family: Eukaryotic large subunit ribosomal RNA
Source: RNAcentral